AGAACGAACGCUGGCGGCACGCCUAACACAUGCAAGUCGAGCGCCCAGCAAUGGGAGCGGCGGACGGGUGAGGAACACGUGGGAACAUGCCUUUCGGUUCGGCACAACUGCGGGAAACUGCAGCUAAUUCCGGAUACGCCCUUACGGGGAAAGAUUUAUCGCCGAAAGAUUGGCCCGCGUCUGAUUAGCUAGUUGGUGAGGUAAUGGCUCACCAAGGCUUCGAUCAGUAGCUGGUUUGAGAGGACGACCAGCCACACUGGGACUGAGACACGGCCCAGACUCCUACGGGAGGCAGCAGUGGGGAAUCUUGGACAAUGGAGGAAACUCUGAUCCAGCGAUGCCGCGUGAGUGAUGAAGGCCUUCGGGUUGUAAAACUCUUUUACCAGGGAAGAUAAUGACUGUACCUGGAGAAUAAGCCCGGCUAACUUCGCGCCAGCAGCCGC
RNAcentral lists this ribosomal RNA (443 nucleotides) under uncultured bacterium. RNAcentral describes it as "SSU rRNA". It matches the Rfam family "Bacterial small subunit ribosomal RNA", at positions 26 to 518 of the family's 1533-position model. The record is from RNAcentral.